UUAAUACUCCCAUUAGUCCCAAAAUCCUUGUCUUAAAUUUGUCUAAAUACAGAUGUAUUAAGUCAUGUUUUAGUAUUAGAUACAUCCGUAUCUAGAUGAAUCUAAGACAAGAAUUUUGGGACGGAGGGAGUACGUA
Molecule: non-coding RNA, 136 nt
Organism: Triticum aestivum (bread wheat)
Lineage: Eukaryota; Viridiplantae; Streptophyta; Magnoliopsida; Poales; Poaceae
Source: Rfam